RNAcentral lists this ribosomal RNA (662 nucleotides) under Bacteroidales bacterium. RNAcentral describes it as "bacterial SSU rRNA". It matches the Rfam family "Bacterial small subunit ribosomal RNA", at positions 1 to 659 of the family's 1533-position model. Lineage: Bacteria; Pseudomonadati; Bacteroidota; Bacteroidia; Bacteroidales. The record is from RNAcentral.
UACAACGAAGAGUUUGAUCCUGGCUCAGGAUGAACGCUAGCGGUAGGCUUAACACAUGCAAGUCGAACGGGAUUUGAGUAGCAAUACUUAAUGAGAGUGGCGCACGGGUGAGUUACGCGUAUGCAACCUACCUGUAACUGGAAAAUAGCCCCCGGAAACGGGGAUUAAUGUUCCAUAAUGUUCAGGGAUCGCAUGGUUUUUGAACUAAAGCUCCGGCGGUUACAGAUGGGCAUGCGUGACAUUAGCUUGUUGGUGAGGUAACGGCUCACCAAGGCUAUGAUGUCUAGGGGGUCUUAAAGGAUGAUCCCCCACACUGGUACUGAGACACGGACCAGACUCCUACGGGAGGCAGCAGUGAGGAAUAUUGGUCAAUGGGCGCAAGCCUGAACCAGCCAAGCCGCGUGCAGGAUGAAGGCCCUAUGGGUUGUAAACUGCUUUUUUACGGGAAGAAUUCCCCCGACGUGUCGGGGAGUGACGGUACCGUACGAAUAAGCAUCGGCUAACUCCGUGCCAGCAGCCGCGGUAAUACGGAGGAUGCAAGCGUUAUCCGGAUUUAUUAGGUUUAAAGGGUGCGUAGGCGGACUUGUAAGUCAGCGGUGAAAUACUACAGCUUAACUGUAGAACUGCCGUUGAUACUGUGAGUCUUGAGUAUAGUUGAGGUA